This 301-nucleotide ribosomal RNA is filed under the name uncultured bacterium. Its description in RNAcentral is "partial 16S ribosomal RNA". It matches the Rfam family "Bacterial small subunit ribosomal RNA", at positions 509 to 807 of the family's 1533-position model. The record is from RNAcentral.
CAGUAGCCGCGGGAAAACGUAGGGUGCGAGCGUUAAUCGGAAUUACUGGGCGUAAAGCGUGCGCAGGCGGUUUUGUAAGACAGGCGUGAAAUCCUCGGGCUUAACCUGGGAAUGGCGCUUGUGACUGCAAGGCUAGAGUGCGUCAGAGGGGGGUAGAAUUCCACGUGUAGCAGUGAAAUGCGUAGAGAUGUGGAGGAAUACCGAUGGCGAAGGCAGCCCCCUGGGACGAGACUGACGCUCAUGCACGAAAGCGUGGGGAGCAAACAGGAUUAGAUACCCCAGUAGUCCCUGUCUCUUAUAC